RNAcentral lists this long non-coding RNA (272 nucleotides) under Elaeis guineensis (African oil palm). RNAcentral's name for it is "long non-coding RNA (EGUI_LNC061548)". Lineage: Eukaryota; Viridiplantae; Streptophyta; Magnoliopsida; Arecales; Arecaceae. The record is from RNAcentral.
UAGAGAUUAAAAGAAGAACUAUUUCUUCUCAAUUUUUUCAUGCAUAAGAGAGAACCUUUCUCUUUUCCUUUCACACCUUUGAGAAGAAUUUUUCUUCUCUAAUUUUCCAUGAUGAAAAUUAAAUCUAAUCUAAUUUCUCAUGUAGAAAAUCAUAUGGAUUUCUGAUCCCUAGAAGAAUUCAAAAGAGAGACCCAAGAGAAGAAUCGUUCUUCUCUCUUCUUCUCCAUUUUUCUUCUUGAUCUAGAACUCUAGGAAGCCCCUUACGCCCAACC